Molecule: transfer RNA, 81 nt
Filed under: Hemiselmis andersenii
Lineage: Eukaryota; Cryptophyceae; Cryptomonadales; Hemiselmidaceae
Rfam family: tRNA
About the family: Transfer RNA (tRNA) molecules are approximately 80 nucleotides in length. Their secondary structure includes four short double-helical elements and three loops (D, anti-codon, and T loops). Further hydrogen bonds mediate the characteristic L-shaped molecular structure. tRNAs have two regions of fundamental functional importance: the anti-codon, which is responsible for specific mRNA codon recognition, and the 3' end, to which the tRNAs corresponding amino acid is attached (by aminoacyl-tRNA synthetases). tRNAs cope with the degeneracy of the genetic code in two manners: having more than one tRNA (with a specific anti-codon) for a particular amino acid; and 'wobble' base-pairing, i.e. permitting non-standard base-pairing at the 3rd anti-codon position.
Source: RNAcentral
CUGUGGCCUAACGGAUAAAGCGUCUGUCUCCUAAAUUGGUUAAUUUUGGUUAACAGAAGAUUGUGGGUUCGAAUCCCACCU